Molecule: ribosomal RNA, 253 nt
Filed under: uncultured bacterium
Lineage: Bacteria
Description: partial 16S ribosomal RNA
Rfam family: Bacterial small subunit ribosomal RNA
Source: RNAcentral
UACAGAGGCCUCAAGCGUUGUUCGGAAUCACUGGGCGUUAAGGGUGCGUAGGCUGCGCGGAAAGUCAGGGGUGAAAUCCCGGAGCUCAACUCCGGAACUGCCUUUGAUACUCCCGCGCUUGAGAACUGGAGGGGAGAUCGGAAUUCACGGUGGAGCAGUGAAAUGCGUGGAUAUCGUGAGGAACACUAGUGGCGAAGGCGGUUCUCUGGGCCUGUACUGACGCUGAGGAGCGAAAGCGUGGGGAGCGAACAGG